AUGGCACCGAGUCCCCCCCCCAGCACCCUCGGGCUCCCCUGCCCGCCCCUCACAGCACCCAUGGGUGCCACUCACGAGGUGCUCCUCCAGGUGGGUGACGAGGAGGGCGAGGUACUCGUGCACCAGGUUCUGGCAGGGGGUCACCAUGGUGGGCACCGGCAGCGCCGAGCACUCCCGGCGCAGAAAUCCCUCCACGGCCACCUGCACCCACAGCCACCAUGGCACCCGCGGGGGCACCCGCACCUCGUGUCCCCCCCCACCUUGGUGUCACCCCCCCCCGUGUCCCUCAGCACCUUGGUGGCCGACUCGUUGGCCAUGCGGAUGAGCAGGGUGACGACCUCCUGGCAGUCGGCGCACAUGUCCUCCUGCGAGGGGGGGGCACCCACACCGGGACGUGUGGGGACGGGGGGGGCACGGGGACGGGGGGUACAGGGCACGGGGAAAGGGGUUUGGGGACAUGGGGACAUGUGGUGUGGAGUAUGGGGGCACGGGGAAACGGAGUUGGGGACAUGGUUGGGGACAUAUAGCAUGGGGUACAGGACAUGGGAAUGGACUUGGGGACAUGGGGACAUAGGACGUGGAGGAUGGGGGCAUGGGGAAGCAGAGUUUGGGGCAUAUUACGUGGGGACACGGGAAAAAGGACUUGGGGACAUGGGGACAUAUAGUACGGAGUGUAGGGUCAUGGGAAAAUGGACUUGGGGACAUGGGGACAUAAGGCGUGGAGCAUGGGGACAUGGGGAAGUGACCAUGGGGACAUGGAGAAAUGGACUUGGGGACAUGGCAAAGGGGUGUGGGGACAUGGGGUAUCAUUAUAUGGGGAGGGGGAGUAGGGGACACACAAACAUGUGGCGUGGGAACGUGCCUAUGGGGCACGGGGACAAGGGGCACGGGGCAUGGGAAUGUGGGGACAGAGGGACACGGCGCGGGCCAUGGGACAUAGGGUAUGGGGCGUGGGGCGCGGGGACACGGGGGGCACAGGGACAUGGGGACAGGGGGAGGGGGACAUGGGAACAUGGGGGACACAGGGUCAUAGGGCGUGGGAUAUGGGGUGGGGGGGACACAGGGCGUGGGGAUGGGGUGGAUGGGGAAUAG
RNAcentral lists this long non-coding RNA (1092 nucleotides) under Anas platyrhynchos platyrhynchos (common mallard). RNAcentral describes it as "lncRNA (ENSAPLG00000027487.1)". Lineage: Eukaryota; Metazoa; Chordata; Aves; Anseriformes; Anatidae. The record is from RNAcentral.